GAUGAACGCUAGCUACAGGCUUAACACAUGCAAGUCGAGGGGAAACGACAUCGAAAGCUUGCUUUUGAUGGGCGUCGACCGGCGCACGGGUGAGUAACGCGUAUCCAACCUGCCCACCACUUGGGGAUAACCUUGCGAAAGUAAGACUAAUACCCAAUGACGUCUCUAGAAGACAUCUGAAAGAGAUUAAAGAUUUAUCGGUGAUGGAUGGGGAUGCGUCUGAUUAGCUUGUUGGCGGGGUAACGGCCCACCAAGGCGACGAUCAGUAGGGGUUCUGAGAGGAAGGUCCCCCACAUUGGAACUGAGACACGGUCCAAAACUCCUACGGGAGGCAGCAGUGAGGAAUAUUGGUCAAUGGGCGAGAGCCUGAACCAGCCAAGUAGCGUGCAGGAUGACGGCCCUAUGGGUUGUAAACUGCUUUUAUAAGGGAAUAAAGUGGGUCACGUGUGACUUUUUGCAUGUACCUUAUGAAUAAGGACCGGCUAAUUCCGUG
RNAcentral lists this ribosomal RNA (493 nucleotides) under uncultured bacterium. RNAcentral describes it as "bacterial SSU rRNA". It matches the Rfam family "Bacterial small subunit ribosomal RNA", at positions 28 to 507 of the family's 1533-position model. The record is from RNAcentral.